Molecule: ribosomal RNA, 253 nt
Filed under: uncultured bacterium
Lineage: Bacteria
Description: partial 16S ribosomal RNA
Rfam family: Bacterial small subunit ribosomal RNA
Source: RNAcentral
UACAGAGGUCUCAAGCGUUGUUCGGAUUCAUUGGGCGUAAAGGGUGCGUAGGCGGCGCGGUAAGUCGGGUGUGAAAUCUUGGAGCUUAACUCCGAAACUGCAUUCGAUACUGCCAUGCUUGAGGACUGGAGAGGAGACUGGAAUUUACGGUGUAGCGGUGAAAUGCGUAGAUAUCGUAAGGAAGACCAGUGGCGAAGGCGGGUCUCUGGACAGUUCCUGACGCUGAGGCACGAAGGUCAGGGGAGCAAACGGG